Molecule: ribosomal RNA, 468 nt
Filed under: uncultured bacterium
Lineage: Bacteria
Description: partial 16S ribosomal RNA
Rfam family: Bacterial small subunit ribosomal RNA
Source: RNAcentral
GACGAACGCUGGCGGCGUGCUUAACACAUGCAAGUCGAACGGAAAGGCCCUGCUUUUGUGGGGUGCUCGAGUGGCGAACGGGUGAGUAACACGUGAGUAACCUGCCCUUGACUUUGGGAUAACUUCAGGAAACUGGGGCUAAUACCGGAUAGGAGCUCCUGCUGCAUGGUGGGGGUUGGAAAGUUUCGGCGGUUGGGGAUGGACUCGCGGCUUAUCAGCUUGUUGGUGGGGUAGUGGCUUACCAAGGCUUUGACGGGUAGCCGGCCUGAGAGGGUGACCGGCCACAUGGGGACUGAGAUACGGCCCAGACGCCUACGGGAGGCAGCAGCGGGGAAUAUGGCACAGUGGGCGGAAGCCUGAUGCAGAAACGCCGCGUGCGGGAUGACGGCCUUCGGGUUGUAAACCGCUUUCGCCUGUGACGAAGCGGGAGUGACGGUAAUGGGUAAAGAAGCACCGGCUAACUACGUG